This 253-nucleotide ribosomal RNA is filed under the name uncultured bacterium. RNAcentral describes it as "partial 16S ribosomal RNA". It matches the Rfam family "Bacterial small subunit ribosomal RNA", at positions 524 to 776 of the family's 1533-position model. The record is from RNAcentral.
UACGUAGGGAGCAAGCGUUGUCCGGAAUCAUUGGGCGUAAAGCGCGCGUAGGCGGCCCGAUAAGUCCGCUGUAAAAGUCAACGGCUCAACUGUUGAAAGCCGGUGGAUACUGUCGGGCUAGAGUACGGAAGAGGCAAGUGGAAUUCCUGGUGUAGCGGUGGAAUGCGCAGAUAUCAGGAGGAACACCCAUAGCGAAGGCAGCUUGCUGGGACGUUACUGACGCUAAGGCGCGAAAGCAUGGGGAGCAAACAGG